GACGAACGCUGGCGGCGUGGAUUAGGCAUGCAAGUCGAACGGUAUCAUCCUUUCGGGGGUGAGAGAGUGGCGAACUGGUGAGUAACACGUAGGUUAUCUACCCUCAAGACGGGGACAACCCAGGGAAACUUGGGCUAAUACCGGAUGUGAGCAACUUUUAGUUGUUUGAAAGGUGGCGUAAGCUGUCGCUUGGGGAUGAGCCUGCGUCCUAUUAGUUAGUUGGUGAGGUAACGGCUCACCUAGGCAAUGAUAGGUAGGCGGCCUUAACGGGUGGUCGCCCACACUGGGAUUGAGAUACGGCCCAGACUCCUACGGGAGGCAGCAGUCGAGAAUAGUCUACAAUGGUCGGAAGACUGAUAGUGCGACGCCGCGUGAACGAUGAAUCCCUUCGGGGUGUAAAGUUCUUUUAUAUGUGAGCAGUGCUUCUUAUAUUAACAGUAUGGGGAAGAGAUAUUAGCAUAUGAAUAAGCAACGGCUAACCGUGCCAGCAGCCGGGUAAU
RNAcentral lists this ribosomal RNA (500 nucleotides) under uncultured bacterium. Its description in RNAcentral is "bacterial SSU rRNA". It matches the Rfam family "Bacterial small subunit ribosomal RNA", at positions 28 to 524 of the family's 1533-position model. The record is from RNAcentral.